RNAcentral lists this ribosomal RNA (329 nucleotides) under uncultured eukaryote. RNAcentral's name for it is "partial 18S ribosomal RNA". It matches the Rfam family "Eukaryotic small subunit ribosomal RNA", at positions 1470 to 1796 of the family's 1831-position model. The record is from RNAcentral.
CCCUUAGAUGUUCUGGGCCGCACGCGCGCUACACUGAUGCAUUCAACGAGUCUACAACCUGGUCUGAUAGGGCUGGGUAAUCUUUUGAAUGUGCAUCGUGAUUGGGAUAGAUGAUUGCAAUUCUUCAUCUUCAACGAGGAAUGCCUAGUAAACGCAAGUCAUCAGCUUGCAUUGAUUACGUCCCUGCCCUUUGUACACACCGCCCGUCGCUCCUACCGAUUGAGUGUGUUGGUGAGGAGUUUGGAUUGGCCUCGGAAGGUGGUUCGCCACCGUCCGUAGCUGAGAAGUUCUCCAAACCGCCCCACUUAGAGGAAGGAGAAGUCGUAACA